AGUCUUAUAUUCAAUAAUGAUAUAAAAUUGCAAAUUUUAUGGUGUAAAUAGAAAAUAAUACUAAGGCUU
RNAcentral lists this transfer RNA (69 nucleotides) under Limenitis sydyi. RNAcentral describes it as "tRNA-Cys". Lineage: Eukaryota; Metazoa; Arthropoda; Insecta; Lepidoptera; Nymphalidae. The record is from RNAcentral.